AACGCACCUUGCACUUUUCAGGUCUCCUGGAAAGUAUCCUUGUUUGAGUAUCAUAAACACACCUCUCAGAAGAAGACCUUUCUUCUUCUUCUGGAAGUGAGACGUCAGGGAACAACAACACACAUGAUGCUGUUCCUCCUUGUGUCUUUUAAUUGAUAUGCAGUGCGCUUCCACACACACCCGCGUGUGGCGUGGAUGCCCAACUACUAAAUGUGAGAUAGAUAUCGCACAAAGCGGUAGUUGGGUCAAGUGCUGCUACGCCCAGCGCAUGCGUAAUAUAGUAGCGCAGCGCACCGAGUCAUUGAUCUCAAAUCAAGUAAGAACACCCGCUGAACUUAA
RNAcentral lists this unclassified non-coding RNA (339 nucleotides) under uncultured fungus. Its description in RNAcentral is "partial contains internal transcribed spacer 2 and large subunit ribosomal RNA". Lineage: Eukaryota; Fungi. The record is from RNAcentral.